Molecule: small RNA, 29 nt
Filed under: Bombyx mori (domestic silkworm)
Lineage: Eukaryota; Metazoa; Arthropoda; Insecta; Lepidoptera; Bombycidae
Description: ovarian small RNA-15938
Source: RNAcentral
GAGGUAGUGACGAAAAAUAACGAUACGGG